Molecule: ribosomal RNA, 1194 nt
Filed under: Triticum aestivum (bread wheat)
Lineage: Eukaryota; Viridiplantae; Streptophyta; Magnoliopsida; Poales; Poaceae
Description: partial small subunit ribosomal RNA
Source: RNAcentral
AUGCUAAUCGGCGUGUCCGACGGGAUCAAAGACCUGAGCAUCAAGCUUGGGGACCUCAAGAAUUUCCUUGCUGAUGCUGAUAGGAGGAACAUCACCGAUGAGAGUGUGCGUGGGUGGGUGGGGGAACUGAAGCGUGCCAUGUACCUGGCCACUGACAUCGUCGACCUAUGUCAGCUCAAGGCCAUGGAGCAAGGUCAAACCAAGGACAGGGGGUGCCUUAACCCUCUGCUCGUUUGCAUGCGGAAUCCCCUGCACGCCCAUGACAUCGGCACCCGCAUCAAGAUGCUCAACCAAAAUUUGGAUGAUAUUUGCAAGAGGGGCAGCAGUUUCAAUUUCAUCAAGCUAGAAGCCUACCAAGACCGAAAGAUGACUGGAUAUCAUGCAACUGGUCGCAAAACUGAUUCACUGAUGGAGCGGUCAGGUGCAGUUGGUGAUAAGAUUGAGGAGGACACGAGGGCACUUGUGGAGGUGCUUACAAGGGAAGCUGCUAGUGACAAGAGAGAUCGCUUCAUGGUGGUGGCCAUUGUUGGUGCCGGUGGGAUUGGGAAGACCACCCUCAGCAAGAAGGUCUUCAAUGAUGACAGUAUCAAAGGCAAGUUCACUAAGAAUAUAUGGCUUAGCAUCACCCAAGAUUUCAAUGAUAUUGAGCUAUUGAAUAAGGCUAUCAUCGCUGUUGGUGGAGACCUACCUGGAGGUGGAGGAGCCCGAGACAGAGACCUACUUGUCGGUGCUCUCAAUAACGCCAUCAGGGACAAGAAGUUCUUUCUUGUACUAGAUGACAUGUGGGGUGUCGAUGCAUGGGACAAAUUACUGAAGGCUCCCUUUAGCUACGGCGGCCCCGGCAGCAGAGUCCUUAUCACCACAAGACAUGACACGGUUGCCCUAUGCAUGAAAGUUGUGCACUAUCACCAUGUUGACAAAUUAGGUGCUAAAGAUGCAUGGUCAUUGCUCAAGAAGCAGGUAGUCACAACAGAAAAAGGUGAACCCGAGAUUGAGAUUCUAAAGGAUAUUGGCUUGCAGAUUAUAGAAAAGUGUGAUGGUCUGCCACUUGCUGUAAAGGUGGUGGGAGGGCUAUUAUGCCAGAGGGAGAAAAAUCAACGUGCUUGGCAAAAGGUUCUAAACGACGAUUUAUGGAGUGGUCAGACGAUGUUAACUUUAUCCAAUCAGAGGGUGAAGAUGGACUGCCUCGGUUAG